CACAUGAGGCAGCCGCUGGCACAUUCGUGUUAGAGGAAAGUCCAUGCUCGCACGAUCUGCGAUGAUCGUAGUGUUUGUGCUGGUCCAAUCAAUAAGGCCAGGCAUCUAGCAAUAGAUGACGGCGGAGCGGAAGCCUAAAGAGCAAUCCAUGGCGGAUGCCUGCAAAGUGUCACAGUGACGGAGCCUGUUAGGAAACUAGCAGGGUGGAACGAGAUAAACCCCACAAGCGAGAAACCCAAAUUUGGUAGGGGAACUGCCAGCGUGCGAAAGGAAGCACAAGGCGGGUACUUCGGUACAGAUAAAUGACUGCCGCUCCGCAAGGAGGACAAAACAUGGCUUAUGACU
RNAcentral lists this RNase P RNA (345 nucleotides) under Erysipelotrichaceae bacterium. RNAcentral's name for it is "RNase P RNA component class B". It matches the Rfam family "Bacterial RNase P class B". Rfam says of the family: Ribonuclease P (RNase P) is a ubiquitous endoribonuclease, found in archaea, bacteria and eukarya as well as chloroplasts and mitochondria. Lineage: Bacteria; Bacillati; Bacillota; Erysipelotrichia; Erysipelotrichales; Erysipelotrichaceae. The record is from RNAcentral.